Molecule: ribosomal RNA, 253 nt
Filed under: uncultured bacterium
Lineage: Bacteria
Description: partial 16S ribosomal RNA
Rfam family: Bacterial small subunit ribosomal RNA
Source: RNAcentral
UACGUAGGGUGCGAGCGUUGUCCGGAAUUAUUGGGCGUAAAGGGCUCGUAGGCGGUCUGUCGCGUCGGGAGUGAAAACUCAGGGCUUAACCCUGAGCCUGCUUCCGAUACGGGCAGACUAGAGGUAUGCAGGGGAGAACGGAAUUCCUGGUGUAGCGGUGAAAUGCGCAGAUAUCAGGAGGAACACCGGUGGCGAAGGCGGUUCUCUGGGCCGAUACUGACGCUGAGGAGCGAAAGCGUGGGGAGCAAACAGG